RNAcentral lists this ribosomal RNA (468 nucleotides) under uncultured bacterium. Its description in RNAcentral is "partial 16S ribosomal RNA". It matches the Rfam family "Bacterial small subunit ribosomal RNA", at positions 28 to 507 of the family's 1533-position model. The record is from RNAcentral.
GACGAACGCUGGCGGCGUGCUUAACACAUGCAAGUCGAACGGAAAGGCCCUGCUUUUGUGGGCUGCUCGAGUGGCGAACGCGUGAGUAACACGUGAGUAACCUGCCCUUCACUUUCGUAUAACUUCAGGAAACUGGAGCUACUACCGUAUAGGAUCUCCUGCUCCGUGGUGAGGGUUGGAAAUUUUCGGCGGUUGGGGAUGGACUCGCGGCUUAUCAGCUGGUUGGUGGGGUAGUGGCUUACCAAGGCUUUGACGGGUAGCCGGCCUGAGAGGGUGACCGGCGACAUGGGGACUGAGAGAGGGCCCAGAGUCCUAUGGGAGGCAGCAGGGGGGAAUAUUGCACAAUGGGAGGAAGUCUGAUGCAGAAACGCCGCGGGUGGGAUGACGGCCUGCGGGUUGAAAAACGCUUUAGCCUGUGACGAAGCGUGAGUGACGGUAAUGGGUAAAGAAGCACCGGCUAACUACGUG